GACGAACGCUGGCGGCGUGCUUAACACAUGCAAGUCGAACGGAAAGGCCCUGCUUUUGUGGGGUGCUCGAGUGGCGAACGGGUGAGUAACACGUGAGUAGCCUGCCCUUGACUUUGGGAUAACUUCAGGAAACUGGGGCUAAUACCGGAUAGGAGCUCCUGCUGCAUGGUGGGGGUUGAAAAGUUUCGGCGGUUGGGGAUGGACUCGCGGCUUAUCAGCUUGUUGGUGGGGUAGUGGCUUACCAAGGCUUUGACGGGUAGCCGGCCUGAGAGGGUGACCGGCCACAUUGGGACUGAGAUACGGCCCAGACUCCUACGGGAGGCAGCAGUGGGGAAUAUUGCACAAUGGGCGGAAGCCUGAUGCAGCAACGCCGCGUGCGGGAUGACGGCCUUCGGGUUGUAAACCGCUUUCGCCUGUGACGAAGCGUGAGUGACGGUAAUGGGUAAAGAAGCACCGGCUAACUACGUG
This 468-nucleotide ribosomal RNA is filed under the name uncultured bacterium. Its description in RNAcentral is "partial 16S ribosomal RNA". It matches the Rfam family "Bacterial small subunit ribosomal RNA", at positions 28 to 507 of the family's 1533-position model. The record is from RNAcentral.